RNAcentral lists this long non-coding RNA (316 nucleotides) under Homo sapiens (human). RNAcentral describes it as "HSALNT0143071". Lineage: Eukaryota; Metazoa; Chordata; Mammalia; Primates; Hominidae. The record is from RNAcentral.
GUUGAACAUACCUGGCUUCCAGUGCCGAUUACAGCACCUGGAAUGGAUGGAACUCAAUAAUUAUCUGUUAAAUGAAAAAGCACCAAAUGGCCCCAGCUGUUAAGUAGAUCUUGUAAUUUCCAUGUAUGUGUCUUAUAAAGGAGAGAGCAAGAGAGGUACCAAAUGUUUCAACCUACAGAACUGGAUAUCCCAUCCUGUGGGUUGUUUGUUGUUUUUGUUGUUGUUGUUGUUAUUGCUGGUAUUAAUUUUGUUUUGCUUUGUUUGGGGGAAAAAGAUUCAAAUGUUGUAAAAUACAUAAAUAAAACCUUUCUGAAAC